CUGCUUGCGACUGCAUUGGGGAGAGACUAUUGCUGGAGAAGAAAACAAAGUCUUCAACAAGCACUCUGUUUGGGGGAACAACCCACCACAACAACUCUGCUUGGGGAACAACCCCACCAACAAAGCAGGAUAAAGAGGAUACAACCAUGCUAGGAAUUAUGAACAAAUGUCUUACCUGUAGGAAAUCAUGCCACCCUUGG
RNAcentral lists this long non-coding RNA (200 nucleotides) under Lathyrus oleraceus (garden pea). RNAcentral describes it as "Pisum sativum (pea) long non-coding RNA (PSAT_LNC035325)". Lineage: Eukaryota; Viridiplantae; Streptophyta; Magnoliopsida; Fabales; Fabaceae. The record is from RNAcentral.